ACAUUCUCAUCUCCGCAACUCUUAAAGUAAACAACACAUAGCUAAAUAAAUAAUCUAUCAAAAUUUCCAAGAGACUCUCUGGAGUUAGCAAUCAAUUAACAAACCAAAAGACAUUAGAGAAGCAUAAAUGAAGAUUUGUUUGCACAGUUGGAAGAUUAAUGGACUACCUCCACAUAUAAAAGCAGAGUAGCAAACACAAAGCGAGAGAAUUAAUCGUGUAAGCACUUUUGAGCACCUUGAUCAUGAGAAACAACUUCCUUUUUGGCCCACUUGAUUGCUUAAAAGUAUCAAAAGUAAAUGGGAAAUUUCAUAAAACAGCCACUCCAGCCUUAAUGAGCUAUAGGAUUCCAAGCUUUCACUGGCUUCCCCAUCUAAUAAGAUUACUAUAUUGAUCAUAAUUGUUGCGUUCUCUAGAAUAGUAAUGAUUAUACCAAAUAAACACAGUUCUCUACAUAAAACAAAUCAGAAUCUGUGAACCAAAAUAUCAGGAGUUCAAGGAAAGACUAAUAGAUCCAGAAUAGCACAAAUUACAACAAUGUUAAGAGGUCAGAGAUUACACACUAAUAAUUAGGGAAAAAAAUACCCAAGAAACAGCUUUUGACAGUGGCGGGUCUCCCGUCCCUGUGGGAGUGAAAUCAUCCAAGUCGGGUAAUUUAAGGGGCAAAUCAGCUUCAGGAAGUGGAACACCCUCACCAGUAUCCUCCAAGAAAACAACCGGGAUAGGUUCCCCCCAAUAACGCUGCCGAGCAAAAAGCCAAUCCCUCAACUUGUAAUUCACCUUUUUCUUCCCAUUUCCAG
RNAcentral lists this unclassified non-coding RNA (798 nucleotides) under Hevea brasiliensis (rubber tree). The record is from RNAcentral. Lineage: Eukaryota; Viridiplantae; Streptophyta; Magnoliopsida; Malpighiales; Euphorbiaceae.